RNAcentral lists this ribosomal RNA (375 nucleotides) under uncultured organism. Its description in RNAcentral is "partial 16S ribosomal RNA". It matches the Rfam family "Bacterial small subunit ribosomal RNA", at positions 527 to 896 of the family's 1533-position model. The record is from RNAcentral.
GUAGGUGGCAAGCGUUGUCCGGAAUUAUUGGGCGUAAAGACGCGCGCAGGCGGUUCGUUUAAGUCUGAUGUGAAAGACCCACGGGCUCAACCGUGGAGGGUCAUUGGAAACUGGAGAACUUGAGUACAGAAGAGGAAAGCGGAAUUCCACGUGUAGCGGUGAAAUGCGUAGAGAUGUGGAGGAACACCAGUGGCGAAGGCGGCUUUCUGGUCUGUAACUGACGCUGAGGCGCGAAAGCGUGGGGAGCAAACAGGAUUAGAUACCCUGGUAGUCCACGCCGUAAACGAUGAGUGCUAAGUGUUAGGGGGUUUCCGCCCCUUAGUGCUGCAGCUAACGCAUUAAGCACUCCGCCUGGGGAGUACGGCCGCAAGGCUG